AAGAACAAAGGCAAAAAGGAAGAGAACAAACUCUAGGUGAAGAAUUUCAAGAGAAAAAGUGUGAAAAAUCAAGGAAAACAAGUGAAAAAGGUAAAAUUUCUAAAUUUAAACUUGAAAUCUAUUUUCCUUAAGCAUGUCUCCUUAUUUUUCAUGGUUAGAUUUCAUGAUUUCAUAGUGAAUUCAUGGCUGAUCAAAAUGGGUAUGGAGAGAGAAUGAUGUUGGAUUGAUUUGAUUCUAAGUUAUGUUAGUGUUUUUAAUUAGUUUAUUAUGUCUAGAAACAAAACAACAAGAAAAGAAUUCAUUUUCCCCAUCACCCAUCAAUGGCCGAAUUUUCUAGGGAGGAUAUUGUGGCUGAAAUUAAUGAUGUUUCAUGAUAUUUUGGUGAUAUUUGAUGUUUGGUGAGGCUGAAAAUUAAAUGAGAAAUUUUGGUGUGAAAAUCUGAAUUUUUGCUCAACGAAUAGACAUGUGUGAUUAUUGACCCGAGAUUGAUAAAUUGAAUCUCAUUCACAGUCACUGAGGUAAUUUAGGUAUAAUUGGAGUGUAGAAAGUGAGAAGAAUUGAUUUGGAGUUAAAUUGGAGAUUUUAGCCGAUUAGACCGAGUAUAGUGUGACUUAGGUCGAAUAUCACAUUUAAGCGAUUAAUCGGACAUUUUGCAUUCCAUAUCAUGCAUUAGUAGUCUAAAUUAGUUUAAUUUUGAUUUAGUACCAAUGUAGUAAGUUUCUCGAUUUUGUACUGUGUCAAGGUGGUGAGUCCUCUGAUAAAGGCAAGAAAAUUGCACCCGAGAACCAGUAGUAUGAGUACUUCAAAAAUUCACACUCUAAACAUUGUGAGUAACCUUAUCAUCAUUUUAAUUAUCUAAAGUAUGUUUUAAUUCGGUUUUGGUGAAAUUUUAUGAAAAUGAGUUAAAUGGUUAAUUUUAGGUUUUAUAAACAAAAUGUGUUUAAAUGAAAAGAUUUUAUAAAUUGUCUUGAAACUGAAUGAUGAUUUUGAAAAGAGUAAUUGGAGACCACUUGUUAUGUUGUAAAAUUUAUGAUUUGAAUAAAUGGCUUAUGACAAUAUUUGCAUGAAUGGCUGAAUUGGUAUUUGUGUUGAAAUAUAUGAAAUGUGUAUUUAGCCUUGAAAGGUUGUGAAUUACAAUAAUUACCAUAUCAUGUUAUUGAAUUUUAUUGUAUGGUGGGUUUAGCUUGCUGCAGUGGGCGAGUUUCUGUGGACCAGCCUAUUAGAGGGGUACAGUAAACCCCUUUAUAUUUUACCUCAGUUAGAGAGGCGAGUAGGGUA
This 1278-nucleotide long non-coding RNA is filed under the name Theobroma cacao (cacao). RNAcentral's name for it is "long non-coding RNA (TCAC_LNC001391)". The record is from RNAcentral. Lineage: Eukaryota; Viridiplantae; Streptophyta; Magnoliopsida; Malvales; Malvaceae.